Molecule: long non-coding RNA, 734 nt
Organism: Chinchilla lanigera (long-tailed chinchilla)
Lineage: Eukaryota; Metazoa; Chordata; Mammalia; Rodentia; Chinchillidae
Source: Ensembl
CAGAAGGACUAGCCUUAACUGAAAUCCCUCAUUGUAAGAGUUUCAUAAACACAGACUUGAACUGAAGCAUCUGUGGCUUUUUACUAGAACCAGGAAGCAAGGAUAGAGGAUAAAAGAAGGAUGACAUCUGUACAGGAAUUCAUAUUUACUGUUGCUUUAGGAUCUGGAUUUCAAGCAGACAAAAUGACAACAGCCUCUUCCUGAAGGCUCAUGGCUUCCAUCCUGGCAGCUACUCCACUCUUACAUCUCCAGACAGCAAAAGGGAUGGAGGAGGAAAUAGGCAGAUGACUAAACUUGCAAAACACACCCAAAGCAUCACCACUGAGAAUCAGGCCAAGCAAAGAUUGUCUGAGCUCACCGGAUCUGUGCAGCCAGCAGCAGAUGGCCCUUGAGCAGAAUGGUCUCAGCAUCUCAGUCUGUAAUCCACAGAGCAUCCUGCACCUGACAAGAGUUUACAAAGGUACCUUAAUAUCACUGGCAGAAGGAAACAAAGGCUUUGUGUGAAAGGCUGAAGUCUAAAUAAGUUAUACCUAGAAGAACACAACUGGCAGCAAGUGCAAUUAGGGAUAAAUUAACACAAAAAUUAAAUAUAUAAUCGAAGGUUGCAUCUUUUAUUUCACCUCCUUUUUAAAAUUAAGAGUAUGGGGAGAAACAUUGUUGGGAUAAUGUUUGAUGGAGAGAAAGAACUUGGGGAGAAAUUUUGGCAAAUAUUAACCUAAUAAAACUUGGUCAGU